GUGGGGAAUUUUGGACAAUGGGCGCAAGCCUGAUCCAGCAAUGCCGCGUGCAGGAAGAAGGCCUUCGGGUUGUAAACUGCUUUUGUACGGAACGAAACGGCUCUGGUUAAUACCUGGGGCUAAUGACGGUACCGUAAGAAUAAGCACCGGCUAACUACGUGCCAGCAGCCGCGGUAAUACGUAGGGUGCGAGCGUUAAUCGGAAUUACUGGGCGUAAAGCGUGCGCAGGCGGUUUUGUAAGACAGACGUGAAAUCCCCGGGCUCAACCUGGGAAUGGCGUUUGUGACUGCAAAGCUGGAGUGCGGCAGAGGGGGAUGGAAUUCCGCGUGUAGCAGUGAAAUGCGUAGAUAUGCGGAGGAACACCGAUGGCGAAGGCAAUCCCCUGGGCCUGCACUGACGCUCAUGCACGAAAGCGUGGGGAGCAAACAGGAUUAGAAACCCCAGUAGUCC
RNAcentral lists this ribosomal RNA (450 nucleotides) under uncultured bacterium. RNAcentral describes it as "partial 16S ribosomal RNA". It matches the Rfam family "Bacterial small subunit ribosomal RNA", at positions 354 to 796 of the family's 1533-position model. The record is from RNAcentral.